GCUCCUGAUAAUGGUUCUGUGUUCAACACCUUCCUGAGAAAAGAGGAUUUCUGCAUGGAAGGAGAAUGAGUACUCAGACACACACCUCAAUUCUUCAGCAUCAGGCGCUUCUGGGCACAUUAGCCUAGAUUUAGACCUCGAUUUAUCCCAAGGAGUAGAUGCCAGGAAAUUCUUUCUGGAACCUCCUGAUAUUUGUGGCUUUUCAGAGCUAAGGAGAAGUGAAGUUUAAAGUGCUGACAGCAUUGCCUCACCAUCCAUCUCAGGCACAACCCCUUCAAGUUUCCUACCUAUAUCAGCCAAAUAGAGUGAUUCAAAUCAAGGUUUUGGCUGGAAAAUCCCAGAAAUGCAAAUUAUCUCAGCUUUCUGCUUCUUCCAGUGUGUCUUUAUGGGUCCAAAUCAGUCUUAACCCUGCAGAAAUACAGACAUUUCCGUGUGAUUCCACAUGCAGGACUGGUCAGUAUAAAGCAAAUAAGUGA
Long non-coding RNA from Lonchura striata (white-rumped munia), 476 nucleotides. NCBI's taxonomy places the organism in Eukaryota, Metazoa, Chordata, Aves, Passeriformes, Estrildidae. The record is from Ensembl.